GAUUCCUGGGGUUCUGGGGAUUGCUGGUCAUGGAGUGUGGGUGUCCCUGACACUGGGUGUCCCUGGAGUUCCUGGUCAUUGUGUCCCUGUCACUGAGUGACCUCAGGGAUUCCUGGUCAUUGUGUGUGUCCCUGUCACUGGGUGUCCCUAAGGAUUCCUGGUCAUUGUGUGUGUCCCUGUCACUGGGUGUCCCUGGAGUUCCUGGUCACUGAGUGUGUCCCCCUAUCACUGGGUGUCCCCAAGGAUUCCUGGUCACUGAGGGACCCCAGGGAUUCCUGGUCAUUGAGUGUGUGUCCCCCUGUCACUGGGUGUCCCCAGGGAUUCCUGGUCCAUUGAGUGUGUCCCUGUCACUGAGUGACCCCAGGGAUUCCUGGUCACUGAGUGUGUCCCUGUCACGAGGUGUCCCUGGAGUUCCUGGUCAUUGAGUGUGUCCCGGUCACUGAAUGUCCCCAGGGAUUCCUGGUCAUGGAGUUUGUGUGUCCCUGUCACUGGGUGUCCCAGGGAUUCCUGGUCAUUGUGUCCCUGUCACUGAGUGUCCCCAGGGAUCCCUGGUCUCUGGGUGUCCCUGGGGGUUCCCAUGGUGUUUCCCAGGAAUUCCUGUGGUGCUCCCCCAGGAUUCUUGGUCACUCAAUGUCCCCAGGGAUCCCUGGUCACUGAGUGUGUGUCCCCCUGUCACUGGGUGUCCCUGGGGAUUGCUGGUCACUGAGUGUGUCCCCAUCACUGAGUGCUUCAGGGGUUCUGGGGAUUCCUGGUCACUGAGUGUGUCCCUGUCACUGAGUGUCCCCAGGGAUUCCUGGUCAUUGAGUGUGUGUCCCCCUGACACUGGGUGUCCCUGGAGUUCCUGGUCAUUGUGUGUCCCCCUGUCACUGGGUGUCCCCAGGGAUUCCUGGUCAUUGUGUCCCUGUCACUGCGUGUCCCUGGAGUUCCUGGUCAUUGUGUGUGUCCCUGUCACUGGGUGUCCCAGGGAUUCCUGGUCAUGGAGUUUGUGUGUCCCUGUCACUGGGUGUCCCUGGAGUUCCUGGUCAUUGAGUGUGUCCCUGUCACUGAGUGUCCCCAGGGAUUCCUGGUCACUGAGUUUGUCCCUGUCACUGAGUGUCCCCAGGGAUUCCUGGUCAUUGAGUGUGUCCCGGUCACUGGGUGUCCCUGGGGAUUCUGUGAAUUCCUGGUCACUGAGUGUGUGUGUCCCUGUCACUGAGUGCCCCCGGGGCUUCUGGGGACUCCUGGUCACUCAGUGUCCCCCUGUCACUGAGUGACCCCAGGGAUUCCUGUGGUACGUGGCCACUGUCCCUGGGGAUUCCCAAUGACUGAGUGUCCCCAGGGAUUCCCAUGGUGCUCCCCAGGGACUCCUGGUCACUCAGUGUCCCUCUGUCACCAAGUGUCCCCAGGGACUCCUGGUCACUGGGUGUCCCCAGGGAUUCAAUUCCUGGUCAUUCAGUGUCCCCAGGGAUUCCUGUGGUGCUCAGGGAAUCCUGGUCACUCAGUGUCCAUCUGUCACCAAGUGUCCCUGUGAAUCCCCAGUCACUCAGUGUCCCCUGUGGUUCCUGGUCACUCAAUGUCCCCCUGUCACUGAGUGACCCCAGGGAUUCCUGGUCAUUGGGUGUCCCUGUGGAUUCCUGGUGUCCCCUGUGAUUCCUAUGGUGCUCCUCAGGGAUUUCUGGUCACUCAGUGUCCCUCUGUCACCAAGUGUCCCUGUGGAUUCCUGGUCACUCAGUGUCCUCCUGUCACUGAGUGACCCCAGGGAUUCUCAGUCACUCAGUGUCCCCAGGGAUUCCCAUGGUGCUCCUCUGGGACUCCUGGUCACUCAGUGUCCCCCUGUCACCAAGUGUCCCUGUGGAUUCCUGGUCACUGGAUGUCCCUGUGGAUUCCUGGUCACUCAGUGUCCUCCAGGAUUCCUGGUCACUCAAUGUCCCCUUGUCACUCAGUGUCCCUGUGAUUCCUGCUCACUGAGUGCCCUUUCCCUCCCUUAAACAACAACAACAAAAAAAGAGUUUAUACAGACUUUGAUAUUAAUAUAUAUCUAUUUAAUAACUUUAUUUUGAAGCAGUGAAAUCCCAACCUUCUCUUUUGCUGGAAAUAAGAUGGAAAAUGGAGUUUACUCCUUGCUGAAGGUUUAGGUUACCCAACCUAAGCUGUUUUUAUUUUUUUUUUAAUUUUAUUUUUUUAUUUUUACAGCAGAGAAACAAAAAUGUCCUGGCACAGAAAUUAAUUUUAUAUAAAUAUGAAAUAGCUGGAUAAUGUUUAUCCUUUAUUUUU
This 2253-nucleotide long non-coding RNA is filed under the name Zonotrichia albicollis (white-throated sparrow). Its description in RNAcentral is "lncRNA (ENSZALG00000000544.1)". Lineage: Eukaryota; Metazoa; Chordata; Aves; Passeriformes; Passerellidae. The record is from RNAcentral.